GCUCUGUAAAUGAAGUUUUCGAAGCCAGAGCUUUGUAAAUGAAGCUUUUGAAGCUAGAUUGACAUAAGUGAUGCUCAUGAAUUUUUAUGUUGAUUGACAUGAGUGAUGCUCAUGGAUGUUGACAUGAGUGAUGCUCAUGAAUGUUGACAUGAGUGAUGCUCAUGAAUAUUGACAUGAAUGAUGGUCAUGAUUGUUUAUGUAUGAUUGUCAUGAGUGAUGCUCGUAAAUGUUUAUGUAUGAAUGACAUGAGUGAUGCUCAUGUAUAAUUUUGAAGUACUGGACGUACUUUUGAUCACCUAGUGGGUGAUAAUAGCGGCAGGAUGCCGAAUAAUUUUGGAGUAUUGGGCGUACUUUUGAUCACCUGGUUGGUGAUAAUAGCGGCAGGCUGCUGUAUAAUUUUGGAGUAUUGGGCGUACUUUUGAUCACCUGAUUAGUGAUAAUAGCGGCAGGUUGCCGAAUAAUUUUGGAGCCAUAGGGCCUGGUUCUUUUGGGCAUAUGGGCCUUGGGCCUCCACAUAACAUUCCAGCCCAUAUUCUAUAAAAGGACCUCUCACUCUCCUCAUUAAGGGAGGCCAAUUCUUAGGCCUGAGAUCCCCAGAGGCCUCCCAUAUUCAGAGAAGAGCCUUACUCUCAUUACAAAGGCUCUCUCCCUCACAAUCUUCUCAGAGAAAUACAAUAUCAAUGUGGACGUAGCCCAAACAUUGGGGUGAACAUGAUACAUCUUGUGUUCUUUACAUUUCUUGCAGAUUUACGGUUGGAUUUACGUUGUUCCAAGACCUUCGGUUUUGUGCA
Molecule: long non-coding RNA, 791 nt
Filed under: Malus domestica (apple)
Lineage: Eukaryota; Viridiplantae; Streptophyta; Magnoliopsida; Rosales; Rosaceae
Description: long non-coding RNA (MDOM_LNC000759)
Source: RNAcentral